CUUGACGGAGCCCAGCAGCAGCGGCCGGCCCUCGGGCCGGUCCUGGCCGUAGGUGGCCAGCAGCGCCUGCGCCUC
This 75-nucleotide antisense RNA is filed under the name Streptomyces lavendulae subsp. lavendulae. RNAcentral's name for it is "ASpks TB sRNA". It matches the Rfam family "ASpks TB sRNA". The record is from Rfam by way of RNAcentral. Lineage: Bacteria; Bacillati; Actinomycetota; Actinomycetes; Kitasatosporales; Streptomycetaceae.